GAUGAACGCUGGCGGCGUGCCUAAUACAUGCGAGUCGAGCGAACGGACGAGAAGCUUGCUUCUCUGAUGUUAGCGGCGGACGGGUGAGUAACACGUGGAUAACCUACCUAUAAGACGGGGAUAACUUCGGGAAACCGGAGCUAAUACCGGAUAAUAUUUUGAACCGCAUGGUUCAAAAGUGAAAGACGGUCUUGCUGUCACUUAUAGAUGGAUCCGCGCUGGAUUAGCUAGUUGGUAAGGUAACGGCUUACCAAGGCAACGAUGCAUAGCCGACCUGAGAGGGUGAUCGGCCACACUGGAACUGAGACACGGUCCAGACUCCUACGGGAGGCAGCAGUAGGGAAUAUUCCGCAAUGGGCGCAAGCCUGACGCAGCCACGCCGCGUGAGUGAUGAAGGUCUUCGGAUCGUAAAACUCUGUUAUUAGGGAAGAACAUAUGUGUAAGUAACUGUGCACAUCUUGACGGUACCUAAUCAGAAAGCCACGGCUAACUACGUG
Molecule: ribosomal RNA, 497 nt
Filed under: uncultured bacterium
Lineage: Bacteria
Description: partial 16S ribosomal RNA
Rfam family: Bacterial small subunit ribosomal RNA
Source: RNAcentral